RNAcentral lists this ribosomal RNA (442 nucleotides) under uncultured bacterium. RNAcentral's name for it is "partial 16S ribosomal RNA". It matches the Rfam family "Bacterial small subunit ribosomal RNA", at positions 338 to 795 of the family's 1533-position model. The record is from RNAcentral.
CCUACGGGAGACUGCAGUGGGGAAUAUUGGGCAAUGGGCGCAAGCCUGACCCAGCAACGCCGCGUGAAGGAAGAAGGCUUUCGGGUUGUAAACUUCUUUUAAGAGGGAAGAGCAGAAGACGGUACCUCUUGAAUAAGCCACGGCUAACUACGUGCCAGCAGCCGCGGUAAUACGUAGGUGGCAAGCGUUGUCCGGAUUUACUGGGUGUAAAGGGCGUGCAGCCGGGAAGACAAGUCAGAUGUGAAAUCCCGCGGCUCAACCGCGGAACUGCAUUUGAAACUGUUUUUCUUGAGUACCGGAGAGGUCAUCGGAAUUCCUUGUGUAGCGGUGAAAUGCGUAGAUAUAAGGAAGAACACCAGUGGCGAAGGCGACUAUCUGGCUGUACAUUGACGCUGAGGCUCGAAAGCAUGGGGAUCAAACAGGAUUAGAUACCCUGGUAGUC